CUCGACCCGGAAAUUGAAAAUCUGAACCCACCUCACCACCACCGGUUCCCUCCUCUUUUCGGCUCCUGCUUCUCUCUUGCUCCCCCGCUGGCUCUCUCUGAACUGCUUUCGAUUCAGUAAAAAUGGCAAACAAGCUCAAAGUAGACGAACUUCGAGCCGAAUUGGCUAAACGUGGACUUGACACCACCGGAACCAAAGCUUCCCUGGUUCGGAGACUCGAUGCAGCUCUCGAUGAAGAAAAAAGGCAAUCAAUGGACUCUGUUGAUGCUCGUGGUAGGAAGAAAAGAGAAAGGGACACUCAGGACGGGUUUUCUAAUGGAGCAGAGAAAAUCAAGGCCAUUGAGAAUUUUCGGGAAAUGAAUAUUAAGCAAUUACGCGAACAAGCGAAGCUUCGCGGUGUUUCCACCAACGGAACAAAGAAGGAAAUACUAGAGAGGCUUUGCAAUGGUUUAUCAGACAAUGACGGUUCUUGGGACACUCUUCAAGCUAAAGAAGAGGAGGAUAAAAACAAGGAGAAAAUUGUAACUGCAACCAAGAAGGGUGCAGCUGUGCUGGAUCAUUGUAUUUCAGAGCAGAUAAAGUUACAGUACCAUGUUUUGCAACUGGGUGAUGACGUGUAUGAUGCCAUGCUUAAUCAAACAAAUGUUGGGAAUAACAAUAACAAGUUCUAUGUUAUUCAACUUCUUGAAUCUGACGAUGGUGGUGGAUUCAUUGUCUACAAUAGAUGGGGAAGGGUUGGGGUCAGGGGUCAAGAUAAAAUGUUUGGUCCCUACACUUCCCGGGAUACUGCAAUUUAUGAGUUUGAACAAAAGUUCUAUGCUAAGACAAAGAAUUACUGGUCCAACAGAAAGGAGUUCAAAUGUUACCCCAACUGCUAUACCUGGUUGGAAAUGGACUAUAGUGAAAAGGAAAAAGAAUCAGUUGUCAAAGAAAAGUCUGACCCUGCUUUAGCAAUUCAACCUCGGGAAACAAAACUUGAGCCACGUGUUGCAAAAUUUAUCUCUCUUAUAUGCAAUAUAAGCAUGAUGAGGCAGCAAAUGAUGGAAAUAGGAUACAAUGCUAAUAAAUUACCACUUGGAAAGCUAAGCAGGUCAACAAUAUUGAAGGUAUGUUUGAUUUGAGGAUAAAGUCUAACAGAAUCUAAUUUAGUACUCAUAAAGUAUAACUACAAUUUCAAUGUUAGUCAAAUUUCAUUGAGAGGAGUCUCAAAGAAAAGAAAAAGGGAUCAACAUCUUAAUAUAUAUGUGACAUGCUUUAAGUUGCUUGUACAGAAAAUGACAUCUGGAGAAUUUCUGUUCUACUGGUAUAUUCAAAACUUUGGGGCUUUAAAGGGUCCAGUUGCAUGCUUGAGUAGAUGGGAUGUAGGUUUUGCUUAUGCCAAUCCUUUUCAACUAUAUUUUCGGAGAGAUUCUUUCUAAAAAUGUUGACAAAUAAAAAUUGAAGAAGUAGAUGCUCUUUAUAGAUGCAAUGUUUCUUGAUUGAAAUUAUGGUGCUGGAUGUGCUAUAGUGUUAGAAUGUAUCACUAAUAGCUGUGGUAUUUGCUUUGGAAUUUUGAUGUUGCAAGGCAGUUGAGAUUCUUUUAGACUUUAUUGACAUUUUCCUUACAGGAAUCAAACGCUGUUUUCGGUGCCUUAUCUGUUAUUUUCUGCUGCAAGCACAUGAUUAGUGAGAAAAACUGCUCUGUUGCUUUGGGUAUCAAUAUGUGUUUGGCAGUCUAUUGGUUCCACUGCACACCUUAGCAAGGAUUUGCUUGUCAAUUUUAUAUAGCAUUGUAAAACAACAGUGUUAUGAUACUCAAAACUUUCUCAAUUUGACAUCAUCAUUUGAUUAAUAGUGGAUACCCAGAUGCAAUUGUUAGCUACUUUAUUUGUGUGCAGUUUCACAGUGCAUGAUAACCAUUUCUUCUUUCCUCAGUGACCAUGGAACACCUAAUAAAUCUAUUUUCUUUGAAUUUGUGGAGGGCUAUGAUGUCUUGAAGAGGAUUGCUGACAUAAUUGGCACAACAAACAGGCUACAACUUGAGCAAUUGAGUGGGUGAGAAUAAGCAUGUGAUUUGACAGUGUAGACUAAAUUUUUUUUUUUUAUCUUUUUUUCCUAUGGAUUUGGUUUGAGAUGAUGGAAUCUGGACUGUGGCCUUAAUAAAGUAGUACACAGAAUUUUCAUUUUUGAUAGAAGUUUUCAUUGCAGAGAAUUCUACACAAUUAUUCCCCAUGACUUCGGGUUUAAAAAAAUGCGUAAGUUGUCUUUUUUUCUGUAUCUUUCUCGUCUCAGUCUCUAUCAUUGUCUCUCUCUCUGAGACUGAGAUCUUCAGGAUAUGGUUACUGCAUACUAGUAGUAAGAUGUCUUCUUCUUUGCAAGGACUGUCUUAUUAAUUUUAAAAUGUGUUGUGGCAGGUGAAUUUGUCAUUGACACUCCCCAAAAGUUAAAACACAAACUAGAGAUGGUUGAAGCCCUAGGUGAGAUUGAGGUUGCAACAAAGAUGUUGGAGGAUGAGUCUGGGAUGCAGGAUCCCUUAUAUUGUCGUUAUAAUCACCUGCAUUGUGAACUGAUACCACUUGAAGUUGAUUCGGAGGAAUUCUCUAUGAUUGCGAAAUAUAUGCAGAACACACAUGCAAAAACACACACACAGUAUUCUGUUGACAUUGUUCAAAUAUUCAAGGUCUCAAGAGAAGGUGAAGCUCAACAAUUCAGGAAGUUCUCCACUAUGAAAAACAGAAUGCUUUUAUGGCACGGUUCUCGUCUCUCAAACUGGACUGGCAUUCUAUCCCAAGGCUUGCGCAUUGCUCCCCCAGAAGCACCUUCAACAGGCUACAUGUUUGGAAAGGGGGUUUACUUUGCUGAUAUGUUUUCCAAAAGUGCAAAUUAUUGCUAUGCCACGCAUGCUUCUUCAGCUGGUGUGCUGCUUUUAUGCGAGGUUGCGCUUGGUGACAUGGCUGAGCUUUUACAUGCGGACUAUGAUGCUGAUAAGUUGCCACAUGGGAAGUUAAGCACAAAAGGAGUUGGCGCAACAGCUCCAGAUCUCUCAGGUGCUAAGACACUUGAGGAUGGUGUCAUUGUUCCCCUAGGGAAACCCAAAAAGCAAGGAGGCCCUAAGGGUACUUUACUGUACAACGAGUACAUCGUCUACAAUGUGGAUCAGAUUAGGAUGCGUUAUGCGGUUCAAGUGAAUUUCAAAUACAAAAAUUGACUAGCAUCAAUGUGAUUCUUCCAUUUCUGUUCUCAAAUUUGCAGUAUCGAAGCUAAUCUUCCAGUAUAACAGAAUAAUUCAAUGGGCAAGUCUUCUAUAUAUGUAUGUGGUAAAUGGUAAUACAGCAGUAUAAUGUAUCUACACUGUAUUUUAGGGGGAAAAAAUCUAAGAGUUAGGGUCCUCUGGGGAGAUGGAAAAGAGGGUUGCCGUGUGUCUUAUUGGGAUCAUGGUAUAGAAAAUGAUUACGUAACUUAAUGUAACACGUAACCUUGUAUGCUGGUUGAAGUGAAGAAAAUUGAGCACGAGCAUUCACUUCCAGUAUGGCCAGAGAUUCUCUUUGUUGAACUCAAAUUUCACAAAGUUAGCAGCUCCAUCUCUUAUUUUUGGAUAAGCCAUUAGCAAGAAAUAUUAAAUACGACUUCUUUUACUUGGCAAUAUCAUGUCCUGAAAAGUCUUCGCUGAUUGCUGACCUUCUUAAGGGAUAGUUGGGCUGUAAGGAAUUACCGGUAAAUGCGUCAGAAGAUACAAGAAAUUGAUCAUUUUUUACAAUGUACAAUGC
RNAcentral lists this unclassified non-coding RNA (3746 nucleotides) under Hevea brasiliensis (rubber tree). Lineage: Eukaryota; Viridiplantae; Streptophyta; Magnoliopsida; Malpighiales; Euphorbiaceae. The record is from RNAcentral.